GCCCUUCCUACGGGAGGCAGCAGUAGGGAAUUUUCGGCAAUGGGGGAAACCCUGACCGAGCAACGCCGCGUGAACGACGAAGUACUUCGGUAUGUAAAGUUCUUUUAAGAGGGAAGAAUGGCCCGUGGAAAAGCGGGCGUGACGGUACCUUUUGAAUAAGCCCCGGCUAACUAUGUGCCAGCAGCCGCGGUAAUACAUAGGGGGCAAGCGUUAUCCGGAAUUAUUGGGCGUAAAGGGUGCGUAGGUGGCCAUUUAAGUCUUUGGUGUAAGUUCAGCGCUCAACGCUGUGAUGCUAAAGAAACUGGGAGGCUUGAGUGUGGUAGAGGCAAGUGGAAUUCCAUGUGUAGCGGUAAAAUGCGUAAAUAUAUGGAGGAACACCGGUGGCGAAGGCGGCUUGCUGGACCACAACUGACACUGAGGCACGAAAGCGUGGGGAGCAAACAGGAUUAGAUACCCUGGUAGUCCACGCCGUAAACGAUGAGUACUAAGCGUAGGGGAAAUUCUGUGCUGUAGUUAACGCAAUAAAUACUCCGCCUGAGUAGUACGUACGCAAGUAUGAAACUCAAAGGAAUUGACGGAAGGGC
Molecule: ribosomal RNA, 584 nt
Filed under: uncultured bacterium
Lineage: Bacteria
Description: bacterial SSU rRNA
Rfam family: Bacterial small subunit ribosomal RNA
Source: RNAcentral